Molecule: ribosomal RNA, 492 nt
Filed under: uncultured bacterium
Lineage: Bacteria
Description: partial 16S ribosomal RNA
Rfam family: Bacterial small subunit ribosomal RNA
Source: RNAcentral
AGUGAACGCUGGCGGUAGGCCUAACACAUGCAAGUCGAACGGCAGCACAGUAAGAGCUUGCUCUUACGGGUGGCGAGUGGCGGACGGGUGAGGAAUACAUCGGAAUCUACUUUUUCGUGGGGGAUAACGUAGGGAAACUUACGCUAAUACCGCAUACGACCUACGGGUGAAAUCAGGGGUUCUUCGGACCUUUCGCGAUUGAAUGAGCCGAUGUCGGAUUAGCUAGUUGGCGGGGUAAAGGCCCACCAAGGCGACGAUCCGUAGCUGGUCUGAGAGGAUGAUCAGCCACACUGGAACUGAGACACGGUCCAGACUCCUACGGGAGGCAGCAGUGGGGAAUAUUGGACAAUGGGCGCAAGCCUGAUCCAGCCAUACCGCGUGGGUGAAGAAGGCCUUCGGGUUGUAAAGCCCUUUUGUUGGGAAAGAAAAGCAGCAGGUUAAUACCCCGCUGUUCUGACGGUACCCAAAGAAUAAGCACCGGCUAACUUCGUG